AGAUGGUCCAAAGGUAGUCAGUUAUCUCAAUUGAUUAUUCAGUCAAUUACAGAUCAAACUCCUUGUCCUACUCUUUCCCCAUUCUCACUACUGCACUUGAUGUCUUAAC
Pan paniscus (pygmy chimpanzee) is the source of this 109-nucleotide unclassified non-coding RNA. It matches the Rfam family "Y RNA". From Rfam's summary of the family: Y RNAs are components of the Ro ribonucleoprotein particle (Ro RNP), in association with Ro60 and La proteins. NCBI's taxonomy places the organism in Eukaryota, Metazoa, Chordata, Mammalia, Primates, Hominidae. The record is from Ensembl.